This 824-nucleotide ribosomal RNA is filed under the name uncultured bacterium. Its description in RNAcentral is "bacterial SSU rRNA". It matches the Rfam family "Bacterial small subunit ribosomal RNA", at positions 21 to 879 of the family's 1533-position model. The record is from RNAcentral.
GGCUCAGGACGAACGCUGGCGGCGUGCCUAAUGCAUGCAAGUCGCACGCAGUGCCUUCGGGUGCUGAGUGGCGCACGGCUGAGGAACACGUGGGAAUCUGCCCGACCGUGGGGGAUAACUCGCCGAAAGGCGUGCUAAUCCCGCAUACGCUCGCAAGAGGAAAGCCGCAAUGCGCGGUCGGAGGAGCCUGCGGCCCAUCAGGUAGUUGGCGGGGUAACGGCCCACCAAGCCACUGACGGGUAGCUGGUCUGUGAGGACAACCAGCCAGACUGGGACUGAGACACGGCCCAGACUCCUACGGGAGGCAGCAGCAAGGAAUUUUCGGCAAUGGGGGCAACCCUGACCGAGCAACGCCGCGUGGAGGAUGACGGCCUUCGGGUUGUAAACUCCUUUUGCGGGGGAUGACAUCGACCGUACCCCGCGAAUCAGGCUCGGCUAACUCUGUGCCAGCAGCCGCGGUAAGACAGAGGAGCCAAGCGUUGUCCGGAUUGACUGGGCGUAAAGCGCACGCAGGCGGUGGCGCGCGUGGGGUGUGAAAGCUGGUGGCUUAACUGCCAGAUGCCAUCCCAUACGGCGUCACUCGAGCCCUGCAGAGGUCCACGGAAUUGCCGGUGUAGUGGUGAAAUGCGUAGAGAUCGGCAGGAACACCCAGGGGGAAACCAGUGGACUGGGCAGGAGCUGACGCUCAGGUGCGAAAGCGUGGGGAGCGAACUGGAUUAGAUACCCAGGUAGUCCACGCCGUAAACGAUGAAUACUCGGCAUUUGGGGGGCGAUUUUCGUCCGCCGGGUGCCCCAGCUACCGCGGUAAGUAUUCCGCCUGGGAA